GACGAACGCUGGCGGCGUGCUUAACACAUGCAAGUCGAACGGAAAGGCCCUGCUUUUGUGGGGUGCUCGAGUGGCGAACGGGUGAGUAACACGUGAGUAACCUGCCCUUGACUUUGGGAUAACUUCAGGAAACUGGGGCUAAUACCGGAUAGGAGCUCCUGCUGCAUGGUGGGGGUUGGAAAGUUUCGGCGGUUGGGGAUGGACUCGCGGCUUAUCAGCUUGUUGGUGGGGUAGUGGCUUACCAAGGCUUUGACGGGUAGCCGGCCUGAGAGGGUGACCGGCCACAUUGGGACUGAGAUACGGCCCAGACUCCUACGGGAGGCAGCAGUGGGGAAUAUUGCACAAUGGGCGGAAGCCUGAGGCAGCAACGCCGCGUGCGGGAUGACGGCCUUCGGGUGGUAAACCGCUUUCGCCUGUGACGAAGCGUGAGGGACGGGAAUGGGGAAAGAAGCACCGGCUAACUACGU
This 467-nucleotide ribosomal RNA is filed under the name uncultured bacterium. RNAcentral describes it as "partial 16S ribosomal RNA". It matches the Rfam family "Bacterial small subunit ribosomal RNA", at positions 28 to 506 of the family's 1533-position model. The record is from RNAcentral.